AGGAAGGUAGUCCAGCCCAGGCGAUGGUUGUCCUGGGGUAAGCAUGUAGGGCGUGUCGUAGGUAAAUCCGCGGCAUUUAAGCCUGAGAUGUGAUGCCGAGCCGAUUGUGGUGAAGUGGAUGAUCCUAUGCUGCCGAGAAAAGCCUCUAGUGAGUGUUGUGGCGGCCCGUACCCUAAACCGACUCAGGUGGUCAGGUAGAGAAUACCAAGGCGAUCGGGUGAACUGUGGUUAAGGAACUCGGCAAAUUGCCCCCGUAACUUCGGGAGAAGGGGGACCUCUGUUGGUGAUGGGCUUUACGCCUGGAGCUGGUGGGGGUCGCAGUGGCCAGGGGGAAGCGACUGUUUACUAAAAACACAGGUCCGUGCGAAGUCGUAAGACGAUGUAUACGGACUGACGCCUGCCCGGUGCCGGAACGUUAAGGGGACCGCUUAGCUGACGUGAGUUGGCGAAGGUGAGAACUUAAGCGCCGGUAAACGGCGGUGGUAACUAUAACCAUCCUAAGGUAGCGAAAUUCCUUGUCGGGUAAGUUCCGACCUGCACGAAUGGCGUAACGACUUCCCCGCUGUCUCAACCGCAGACCCGGCGAAAUUGCACUACGAGUAAAGAUGCUCGUUUCGCGCAGCAGGACGGAAAGACCCCGGGACCUUCACUACAGCUUGACAUUGGCGUUUGGAACGUCUUGUGUAGGAUAGGUGGGAGACUGGGAAGCUGUCACGCUAGUGAUGGUGGAGUCAUUGGUGAAAUACCACUCUGGUCGUUUUGAACGUCUAACUCUGGUCCGUGAUCCGGAUCGGGGACAGUGUCUGGUGGGUAGUUUAACUGGGGCGGUUGCCUCCUAAAGAGUAACGGAGGCGCCCAAAGGUUCCCUCAGCCUGGUUGGCAAUCAGGUGUUGAGUGUAAGUGCACAAGGGAGCUUGUCUGUGAGACUGACAGGUCGAGCAGGAGCGAAAGCUGGGACUAGUGAUCCGGCAUCGGCGUGUGGAAGCGGUGUCGCUCAACGGCUAAAAGGUACCCCGGGGAUAACUGGCUGAUCUUCCCCAAGAGUCCAUAUCGACGGGAUGGUUUGGCACCUCGAUGUCGGCUCGUCGCAUCCUGGGGCUGGAGUAGGUCCCAAGGUUGGGCUGUUCGCCCAUUAAAGCGGUACGCGAGCUGGGUUUAGAACGUCGCGAGACAGUUCGGUCCCUAUCCGCUGCGCGCGCAGGAGACUUGAAGGGGGCUGUCCCUAGUACGAGAGGACCGGGACGGACGAACCUCUGGUGUGCCAGUUGUACCGCCAGGUGCACGGCUGGUUGGCUACGUUCGGAAGGGAUAACCGCUGAAAGCAUCUAAGCGGGAAGCUCGCCUUGAGAUGAGGUCUCCCACCACGAGAGUGGGUAAGGCUCCCGGUAGACGACCGGGUUGAUAGGCCGGAGGUGGAAGCACGGUAACGUGUGGAGCUGACCGGUACUAAUAGGCCGAGGACUUGAUC
This 1468-nucleotide ribosomal RNA is filed under the name metagenome. Its description in RNAcentral is "bacterial LSU rRNA". It matches the Rfam family "Bacterial large subunit ribosomal RNA", at positions 1476 to 2925 of the family's 2925-position model. The record is from RNAcentral.